GCCUCCAUAGCUCAGCUGGCCAGAGCAACUGACUUGUAAUCAGUAGGUCGUUGGUUCGAAUCCGACUGGGGGCUCAA
Molecule: transfer RNA, 77 nt
Filed under: Flammeovirgaceae bacterium
Lineage: Bacteria; Pseudomonadati; Bacteroidota; Cytophagia; Cytophagales; Flammeovirgaceae
Also listed under: 1 other name
Description: tRNA-Thr
Rfam family: tRNA
About the family: Transfer RNA (tRNA) molecules are approximately 80 nucleotides in length. Their secondary structure includes four short double-helical elements and three loops (D, anti-codon, and T loops).
Source: RNAcentral